UACGAAGGGGGCUAGCGUUGUUCGGAUUUACUGGGCGUAAAGCGCACGUAGGCGGAUCGUUAAGUCGGGGGUGAAAUCCUGGAGCUCAACUCCAGAACUGCCUUCGAUACUGGCGAUCUUGAGUCCGGAAGAGGUGAGUGGAACUCCUAGUGUAGAGGUGGAAUUCGUAGAUAUUAGGAAGAACACCAGUGGCGAAGGCGGCUCACUGGCUCGGUACUGACGCUGAUAUGCGAAAGCGUGGGGAGCAAACAGG
RNAcentral lists this ribosomal RNA (253 nucleotides) under uncultured bacterium. Its description in RNAcentral is "partial 16S ribosomal RNA". It matches the Rfam family "Bacterial small subunit ribosomal RNA", at positions 524 to 776 of the family's 1533-position model. The record is from RNAcentral.